UAUGAUCUGAAUAUCCUAGGAACCUCUGGAUACAAUUUCUCAAAUAGUUGAAUAUCUCAAGAAAGAGUUUGAGAUGAAAGAUCUUGGAAAACAAAGUUUUGUUUGGGAUUACAGCUUGAGUACAUUAACAAUGAAAUCCUUGUGCAUCAAAUAGUAUAUACAGAAAAGGGUACUCAGACUCUAAGCCAUACCUCCUUAUCAAUCAAACUCCCUCACUUUUAUCAAACCCAGAUUAAGCUUCUUCAACUCAAUGUUUUUCUUAUCCAUUACCCUUU
RNAcentral lists this long non-coding RNA (275 nucleotides) under Brassica napus (rape). RNAcentral's name for it is "long non-coding RNA (BNAP_LNC009568)". Lineage: Eukaryota; Viridiplantae; Streptophyta; Magnoliopsida; Brassicales; Brassicaceae. The record is from RNAcentral.